RNAcentral lists this ribosomal RNA (2134 nucleotides) under Chirothrips sp. TH82. Its description in RNAcentral is "eukaryotic LSU rRNA". It matches the Rfam family "Eukaryotic large subunit ribosomal RNA", at positions 34 to 1898 of the family's 3401-position model. Lineage: Eukaryota; Metazoa; Arthropoda; Insecta; Thysanoptera; Thripidae. The record is from RNAcentral.
UUAGGCAUAUUAGUAAGGGGAGGAAAAGAAACUAACAAGGAUUCCCUUAGUAGCGGCGAGCGAACAGGGAGGAGCCCAGCGCUGAAUCCCCCGGGCCACGCCCGCGGUGAAAUGUAGCGUUUAGGAGGGCCCGUUAGCACGGUGUUUCGUUGCUCGCUCAAGUCCAAACUUGAAUGGGGUCACACAGAGGGUGACAUGCCCGUAGAGCAGAAACGUUCGCCGUGCGGGCCUCUCCUUAGAGUCGGUUUGCUUGAGAGUGCAAACCUAAGUGGGUGGUAAACUCCAUCUAAGGCUAAAUAUGACCACGAGACCGAUAGCACACAAGUACCAUGAGGGAAAGGUGAAAAGAACUUUGAAGAGAGAGUUCAAGAGUGCGUGAAACUGAGGUGGUGAAAACGCACGAGRUCGAAAAGUCCGAAUGGGGAGACUCAAGUCUAUUCCGAACGCUGGUGGCGGUUGGGGGCGAGAUGGUGCGGUCUGCUCGGGUCCUUCGGGGCGCCGGGUUUGUUCCGCCAUCACUCCCUCUGGCUUGCCCGAUCUGGCACGGUGGCCUGCAUUUCUCCGCCUAGUAGGACGUCGCGACCCGUUGGGGUCCGGUCUAUGGCCCGCGGUGGAGUCCCGUGCUUCGGCUUCGGUCGUUGCGUGUGGACCCGUGGUGUCCUGAUCGAAACCCGACGGUAUCAAAGCCUGGGAAGGGACCGCAACUAUGUUGCGCGCGAGUUUUCUCGCACAGGUCCGCACCCGGUCAGCGGCGCUUCUGCUUUCGAUCCUCGUACGACCCGUCUUGAAACACGGACCAAGGAGUCUAACAUGUGCGCGAGUCAUUGGGUUUUGAAACCUAAAGGCGCAGUGAAAGUAAAGGUCGCUUCGGUGACUUUAGGGGCGAUGGCUGUUGCUACCCGCUCGGCCCGCAGCCCCGGGGCGUCUCAUUCUCUUUGAGAGGAGGUGCACCCAAAGCGUACACGUUGGGACCCGAAAGAUGGUGAACUAUGCCUGGCAAGGACGAAGUCAGGGGAAACCCUGAUGGAAGUCCGUAGUGGUUCUGACGUGCAAAUCGAUCGUCAGAGCUGGGUAUAGGGGCGAAAGACUAAUCGAAUCAUCUAGUAGCUGGUUCCCUCCGAAGUUUCCCUCAGGAUAGCUGGCGCUCGGAGGAACAGAGUCUCAUCCGGUAAAGCGAAUGAUUAGAGGCCUUUGGGCCGAAACGACCUAAACCUAUUCUCAAACUUUAAAUGGGUGAGAGCUGUGGCUUGCUUAAGUGAAGCCAUCAGAUCCCCCCGGAUCGUUGAGUGCCAAGUGGGCCAAUUUUGGUAAGCAGAACUGGCGCUGUGGGAUGAACCAAACGCAGCGUUAAAGCGCCUAAAUGGACGCUCAUGGGAUACCAUGAAAGGCGUUGGUUGCUUAAGACAGCAGGACGGUGGCCAUGGAAGUCGGAAUCCGCUAAGGAGUGUGUAACAACUCACCUGCCGAAGCAACUAGCCCUGAAAAUGGAUGGCGCUGAAGCGUCCUGCUUAUACGCUGCCGUCAGGGUAAAAGUUGGCCAUCACGCCAUUGAAACUCUGACGAGUAGGAGGGUCGCGUGGGUGUGCGCAGAAGCGUCGGGCGUAGGCCCGCGUGGAGCCGCCCAUGGCGCAGAUCUUGGUGGUAGUAGCAAAUACUUUAGAGAGGCCCUGGAGGACCGAUGUGGAGAAGGGUUUCGUGUGAACAGCCGUUGCACACGAGUCAGUCGAUCCUAAGCCCUCGGGGAAACCCGAUGUCGAUGGAGCGGGUUCCGCUUAACGAAGCAAUUCAUGGACCGCCAUUGGGCGAAAGGGAAUGUUGUUCCUAUUCAGCAACCCGGUAUCGGCACCGCUUAUCCGGGCCCUCAUAGCUCGUCGCGGUGACGCGAAUAACCCCGGAGAAGCCGUCGGGAGCUGCCAGAAGAGUUUUCUUUUCUGCCUAAGCCAACACCCUCCCUGGAAGCAUUUUGCAUGGAGAUAGGGAGAUCGUUGAGCUAAGAGCAUCGCACUUGCGGCGGUGUUGGCAGUCUCUCCUCGGACCUUGAAAAUCCGGGCGAGGGUUACGCGAGCAGCCGAUCCGGAUCGUACCGAUAUCCGCAGCAGGCCUCCAAGGUCAUGAGCCUCUAGUCGAUAGAUCA